Molecule: ribosomal RNA, 477 nt
Filed under: uncultured Planctomycetales bacterium
Lineage: Bacteria; Pseudomonadati; Planctomycetota; Planctomycetia; Planctomycetales
Description: bacterial SSU rRNA
Rfam family: Bacterial small subunit ribosomal RNA
Source: RNAcentral
UUCGCAAUGCCCGAAAGGGUGACGAAGCGACGCCGCGUGCGGGAAGAAGGCCUUCGGGUUGUAAACCGCUGUCGGGAGUUAAGAAAUGUAAGGAUGUUAAUAGCAUCUUCGCUUGACUAAGGCUCCGGAGGAAGCCACGGCUAACUCUGUGCCAGCAGCCGCGGUAAUACAGAGGCGGCAAGCGUUGUUCGGAAUUAUUGGGCGUAAAGAGCACGUAGGCGGCUACGUAAGUCGGUUGUGAAAGCCUUCCGCUCAACGGGAGAACAGCAUCCGAUACUGCAUGGCUUGAGUGCGGGAGGGGAGAGUGGAACUUCUGGUGGAGCGGUGAAAUGCGUAGAUAUCAGAAGGAACGCCGGCGGCGAAAGCGGCUCUCUGGCCCAUAACUGACGCUGAGUGUGCGAAAGCUAGGGGAGCAAACGGGAUUAGAUACCCCGGUAGUCCUAGCCGUAAACGAUGGGCACUAAGUAGAGGGGUUUU